CCAAAUGGGUGGUAAACAUCACCUAAGGCUAAAUAUUGGCGAGAGACCGAUAGCGAACAAGUACCGUGAGGGAAAGAUGAAAAGAACUUUGAAAAGAGAGUUAAACAGUACGUGAAAUUGUUGAAAGGGAAACGAUUGAAGUCAGUCGUGCUGGCGCGAAAUCAACCUUCUCGUCUUGAGAUCACAUGGCGUGGCGAGCCUCAAGACCGUCACGAAGCGUGAACUCUUGGUGAAAUGGAGCACUUUCGUGUCCGCUGGUUAACAUCAAUCUCGAACGUCAUAAAAAGGCUGGAGGGAUGUGGCUCCUUCGGGAGUGUUAUAACCUUUAGCGGAAUGUGGUGUUCGGGAUUGAGGAUUGCAACGAAUACCUUUAGGGCUGUUCCACCUGGCUUCUCUUUGGUAUCCUGGUGACGACAGCUUGCUGACGUCGUUAGGAUUCGCCUU
RNAcentral lists this ribosomal RNA (444 nucleotides) under Entrophospora claroidea. RNAcentral's name for it is "partial 26S ribosomal RNA". It matches the Rfam family "Eukaryotic large subunit ribosomal RNA", at positions 288 to 634 of the family's 3401-position model. Lineage: Eukaryota; Fungi; Glomeromycota; Glomeromycetes; Entrophosporales; Entrophosporaceae. The record is from RNAcentral.